RNAcentral lists this ribosomal RNA (253 nucleotides) under uncultured bacterium. RNAcentral describes it as "partial 16S ribosomal RNA". It matches the Rfam family "Bacterial small subunit ribosomal RNA", at positions 524 to 776 of the family's 1533-position model. The record is from RNAcentral.
UACGUAGGCAGCGAGCGUUGUUCGGAGUUACUGGGCGUAAAGGGUGCGUAGGCGGUCCCUUAAGUUUGGUGUGAAAUCUCCCGGCUCAACUGGGAGGGUGCGCCGGAUACUGAGGGGCUAGAGUGCGGGAGAGGAAAGUGGAAUUCCUGGUGUAGCGGUGAAAUGCGUAGAUAUCGGGAGGAACACCUGUGGCGAAAGCGGCGCACUGGACCACAACUGACGCUGAGGCGCGAAAGCUAGGGGAGCAAACAGG